AUCUCAUUCCACAGAGGAAGGAGGAAAGAGAGGGCAGAGGGAAAGAGGGCGGAAAACAAAAGGGGUUCAGGGCAGCCUUCACCGUGCCUCCCAGGAAGCCCCCACAGAACUCCCUCUUACACCUCACUGGCAGAGAAAUAGUUCCAAAGGCGUCUGGGAAAUGUAGUUUUUUUCCCAAAGGCAAUGAUUCCCAAUGGUAAAUCAUGGUUCUGUUCCUAAGGAAGAAAGUGGACUGCAUAGUGGGGCAAGCAGAUCACAGCCUGUGCCCUACGUGAGACGGCAUCUAUGGAUGUACAGGAUCUUCUGGAGGCUGAGGAGAGAGCACUUUAUAUGCGCUGAGACUUGGCUGCAGCCUCGACAUAUCCCGAGACACAGUCCUGUUUCUCAGCUUCUUGCAGGAUGUCAGCGAGGAGACUCCCGUACUGACCUGCGCUCCAAGAGCGUCUCCAUCCAUCGCCAAGGGGCUAGUGCCGGGUCUGGCCACUCCGUCACGUCAUUCCCUGAUAGCUUUGCUUGCAAUGCUUGCAUGCCCUCCUUCCUCCGUUUAUGUGCCCUGGAUCGUCCCUCUCCUUCCUCUGUGUCUUUCAGACAAAUGAAGAAACCGAGGCUCAGGGAAGAAAGCUCAGAGCCAGAUCGAAUGUGAAUUGAAGCCAUUUUCCUUGCCCCCAGGUUUCCGGGGUUGUCUGUAUUGUUGGAGCUGGACAACUUACGUCAGGGGAGGAAGAGGGAAGAGGUCCUGAAAAGAAGUGAGACUCAGCCAUUUAUAGGGAUCACCCAGCCUACUGUCUUAUUAGUUCUCUGCAGCCACGAAAUUAAAAGACGCUUGCUCCUUGGAAGAAAAGUUAUAAUCAACCUAGACAGCAUAUUAAAAAGCAGAGACAUUACUUUGCCAACAAAGGUCUGUCUAGUCAAAGCUAUGGUUUUUCUAGUAGUCAUGACAGAUGUGAGAGUUGGAUUAUAAAGAAAGCUGAGUGCCGAAGAAUUGAUGCUUUUGAACUGUGGUGUUGGAGAAGACUCUUGAGAGUCCCUUGGGCUGCAAGGAGAUCCAGCCAGUCCAUCCUGAAGGAAAUCAGUCCUGAAUAUUCAUUGGAAGGACUGAUGUUGAAGCUGAAACUGCAGUACUUUGGCCACCUGAUGUGAAGAACUGACUCAUGUGAAAAGACCCUGAUGCUGGGAAAGAUUGAAGGCAGGAGGAGAAUGGCAUAAUAGAGGAUGAGACGGUUGGAUGGCAUCAUCUCCUCAGUGGACAUGAGUUUAAGCAAGCUCUGGGGGUUGGUGAUGGACAGGUAAGCCUGGUGUGCUACAGUCCAUGGGGUCACAAAGAGCCAGACACAACUGAGCAACUGAACUGAACUGAUUUUAAAUUUGAAUAGAAGUCUAGGGUAUGAACAAC
Molecule: long non-coding RNA, 1393 nt
Filed under: Bos indicus x Bos taurus (hybrid cattle)
Lineage: Eukaryota; Metazoa; Chordata; Mammalia; Artiodactyla; Bovidae
Description: lncRNA (ENSBIXG00000017918.1)
Source: RNAcentral